AAGCACAAAGGUUUGGUCCUGGCCUUACUGUUAAUUUUUAUUAGACCUACACAUGCAAGUUUCCGCAACCUGGUAAGUAUGCCCUUUUAACUUCCAUUGAGUUUAAAGGAGCGGGUAUCAGGCACACUUCCCAAAGUAGGCCAUGACACCUUGUUUAACCACACCCCCAAGGGUUACAGCAGUGACUAACAUUGAGCUAUAAAUGAAAGUUUGACUAAAUCAUAAUGAAAAGGGUUGGUAAAUCUCGUGCCAGCCACCGCAGUCAUACGAUUAACCCAAAUUAACAGAAGAACGGCAUAAAGGGUGUUUAAGCAUUCAAUUCACCAAAUAAAGUUAAAGCUCAACUGUGCUGUAAUACGCCCUAGUUGAUAUUAAAAUACGCAACUUACGUGACUUUACCCAUGCUGAAGACACUUAAGCUAAGGUACAAAUUGGGAUUAGAGACCCCACUAUGCUUAGCCAUAAACUGAGGUAAUUAAAUAACAAAAUUAUUCAGCAGAGAACUACUAGCCACUGCUUAAAACUCAAAGGACUUGGCGGUGCCCUAGAUCCUCCUAGAAAAGCCUGUUCUAUAAUCGAUAAAUCCCGAUACACCUUACCCCUUUUCACUUAUCAAUCUAUAUACCACUAUCAUCAGCUCACCCCAACAGGGUUCCAAAGUGAGCAAAAUCAUGAAACCAUAAAAACAUUAGGUCAAGGUGUAGCAUAUUGGGGGGCGGGAGGGGAGAAAGCAAUGGGCUACAUUUUCUAUGUUAGAACACAGCGGAUUGUCUAUUGAAACAAAGACAUGAAGGAGGAUUUAGUAGUAAAUUAAGAAUAGAGAGCUUAAUUGAAAUAGGCAAUAGGGUACAUACACACCUCCCGUCACCCUCCUCAAUAAAGUAACUUCAAAUACCGAAUAAGAAUACACCAAAAAGAGGAGAAAAAUCAUAACAUGCUAAGUGUACUAGAAAGUGCACUUGGACAAUCAAAAUG
This 975-nucleotide non-coding RNA is filed under the name Sarcophilus harrisii (Tasmanian devil). Its description in RNAcentral is "Bacterial small subunit ribosomal RNA". It matches the Rfam family "Microsporidia small subunit ribosomal RNA". Lineage: Eukaryota; Metazoa; Chordata; Mammalia; Dasyuromorphia; Dasyuridae. The record is from Rfam by way of RNAcentral.